CCCUUAGAUGUUCUGGGCCGCACGCGCGCUACACUGAUGCAUUCAACGAGCCUAUCCUUGACCGACAGGUCCGGGUAAUCUUUGAAUCUGCAUCGUGACGGGGAUAGAUUAUUGCAAUUAUUAAUCUUCAACGAGGAAUGCCUAGUAGGCGCAAGUCAUCAGCUUGCGUCGAUUACGUCCCUGCCCUUUGUACACACCGCCCGUCGCUGCCCGGAACUGAGCCGUUUCGAGAAGACUGAGGAUUGCUGACUUGAGGCCUUCACGGGCUUCUAGUCGGUGAAAAUCAAUUUAAUCGCAGCGGCUUGAACCGGGCAAAAGUCGUAACA
RNAcentral lists this ribosomal RNA (326 nucleotides) under uncultured eukaryote. Its description in RNAcentral is "partial 18S ribosomal RNA". It matches the Rfam family "Eukaryotic small subunit ribosomal RNA", at positions 1470 to 1796 of the family's 1831-position model. The record is from RNAcentral.